This 459-nucleotide ribosomal RNA is filed under the name uncultured bacterium. RNAcentral describes it as "partial 16S ribosomal RNA". It matches the Rfam family "Bacterial small subunit ribosomal RNA", at positions 30 to 507 of the family's 1533-position model. The record is from RNAcentral.
AUUGAACGCUGGCGGCAGGCCUAACACAUGCAAGUCGAGCGGAUGAAGCGAGCUUGCUCCUGGAUUCAGCGGCGGACGGGUGAGUAAUGCCUAGGAAUCUGCCUGGUAGUGGGGGAUAACGUCCGGAAACGGGCGCUAAUACCGCAUACGUCCUGAGGGAGAAAGUGGGGGAUCUUCAGACCUCACGCUAUCAGAUGAGCCUAGGUCGGAUUAGCUAGUUGGUGGGGUAAAGGCCUACCAAGGCGACGAUCCGUAACUGGUCUGAGAGGAUGAGCAGUGACUCUGAGACUGAGACGCGGUGGAGAAUAUUAGGGGAGGCAGGAGAGGCGAAUCCAGCGAAAUGGGCGAAAUGCUGAAGGAGUCAGGACGGGAGAAUGAUGAAAGUUUUAGGAUUGUAAAAUAAUUUAAUCGGUUACGAUAUUGACGUUACCAGGAGAAGAAGCACCGGCUAACUUCGUG